Molecule: ribosomal RNA, 493 nt
Filed under: uncultured bacterium
Lineage: Bacteria
Description: bacterial SSU rRNA
Rfam family: Bacterial small subunit ribosomal RNA
Source: RNAcentral
CUAGGAUGAACGCUGGCGGCGUGCUUAACACAUGCAAGUCGAACGGUAGUUUUAACGGAAGUUUCGGAUGGAAGUUUAAGAACUUAGUGGCGGACGGGUGAGUAGCGCGUGGGUAACCUGCCUCAUACAGGGGGAUAACAGUUAGAAAUGACUGCUAACACCGCAUAAUAUAGUGAAACCGCAUGAUUUUGCUAUCAAAUAUUUAUAGGUAUGAGAUGGGCCCGCGUCUGAUUAGCUAGUUGGUGGGGUAAAAGCCUACCAAGGCGACGAUCAGUAGCCGGCUUGAGAGAGUGACCGGCCACAUUGGGACUGAGACACGGCCCAAACUCCUACGGGAGGCAGCAGUGGGGAAUAUUGGACAAUGGGGGAAACCCUGAUCCAGCGAACCGCCGCGUGAGUGAAGAAGUAUUUCGGUAUGUAAAGCUCUAUCAGCAGGGAAGAUAAUGACAGUACCUGACUAAGAAGCCCCGGCUAACUACGUGCCAGCAGCCGC